AGGGUUCGAUCAUGGCUCAGGAUGAACGCUGGCGGCGUGCCUAACACAUGCAAGUCGAGCGAUUCUCUUCGGAGAAGAGCGGCGGACGGGUGAGUAACGCGUGGGUAACCUGCCCUAUACACACGGAUAACAUACCGAAAGGUAUGCUAAUACGGGAUAACAUUAGAGAUUCGCAUGGAUUUCUUAUCAAAGCUCCGGCGGUAUAGGAUGGACCCGCGUCUGAUUAGCUAGUUGGUAAGGUAACGGCUUACCAAGGCGACGAUCAGUAGCCGACCUGAGAGGGUGAUCGGCCACAUUGGAACUGAGACACGGUCCAA
RNAcentral lists this ribosomal RNA (317 nucleotides) under uncultured bacterium. RNAcentral's name for it is "bacterial SSU rRNA". It matches the Rfam family "Bacterial small subunit ribosomal RNA", at positions 8 to 334 of the family's 1533-position model. The record is from RNAcentral.